AUCACCCAGGGAUCUUGUUAAAAUGUAGAUUCUAAUUCAGUGAGUCCAGGGUGGGCCUGAGAUUCUGAAUUUCUAGCAAACUCUCAAGUGAUGCUGC
RNAcentral lists this microRNA precursor (97 nucleotides) under Nomascus leucogenys (northern white-cheeked gibbon). Its description in RNAcentral is "mir-544 microRNA precursor family". It matches the Rfam family "mir-544 microRNA precursor family". The record is from Rfam by way of RNAcentral. Lineage: Eukaryota; Metazoa; Chordata; Mammalia; Primates; Hylobatidae.